Long non-coding RNA from Fundulus heteroclitus (mummichog), 375 nucleotides. RefSeq lists it as uncharacterized. Lineage: Eukaryota; Metazoa; Chordata; Actinopteri; Cyprinodontiformes; Fundulidae. The record is from RefSeq and is a predicted model, not a curated record. The transcript has 2 exons.
AAUGCUGAUCGAUCUCACCAGCAGAGUGACGUGUGGAAACAGGAGCUGAAGGAGGAACUCCUUGAGGAGCCCAGGGACGAGAGGUAAAGGUUCCAGCAAAAAGUGAGGGUGAUCGAGGGUCGCGCUCAAGCAGGACCAGCAGGGAGAGACUACUGCGCCCUGGUGGAGGCCCUGGAGGAGGCCCUGGAGGAGCUCAACACUGUUUCAGUGGGCUGCACCCUGGCUGUUGUCAGAAAUGAUUCUGAGACGGGCAAUAAAGAGAGCUGUGCAGCUGAAGCGGGGAUCGGAGCCGGACAGAUCAGGUGUGAGAACGGCAGGGCGACAAUGCUGGCGGAUUGAUGGCUGCAGAGGUUCGUCCAACCGGUCGCUGUCAAG